Molecule: ribosomal RNA, 253 nt
Filed under: uncultured bacterium
Lineage: Bacteria
Description: partial 16S ribosomal RNA
Rfam family: Bacterial small subunit ribosomal RNA
Source: RNAcentral
UACGAAGGGGGCGAGCGUUGUUCGGAUUUACUGGGCGUAAAGGGCGCGUAGGCGGCGGGCCAAGUCGAGUGUGAAAGCCCCGGGCUCAACCUGGGAGGUGCGCUCGAGACUGGUUUGCUGGAGUUCGGGAGAGGAGCGUGGAAUUCCCAGUGUAGAGGUGAAAUUCGUAGAUAUUGGGAAGAACACCGGUGGCGAAGGCGGCGCUCUGGACCGAGACUGACGCUGAGGCGCGAAGGUGUGGGGAGCAAACGGG